AAUUUCACUAGCAAAACAAGAAAGACAAAUAUUCUGCCAUUCAUAAGAAUUUGAACAAAAGUAAGAAUUGAAGUACCACCUUAUAACAGCAUGGAAGCGUAAAAGCCACCUAUUAAUAGGUUAAAGUUUAUUGGGAAAAUAAUGAAUGAAAAUAAGUAUUCAAUCUCGAUGAAUAUAUUUGUCACUUGCCUGACAAGAAACUUUAGAUGCUGAGUCUUGGGCCACGCAUUAAUCGGUUAAAGUUUUUUGUUUUCAAAGCAUUUAAACAGUGAUUCAGAAAUUUGCAAGCCUGUGAGAUGUAUUGGCUACAUUUGUUGCACCUGUAACUCAUACUGCAGAAUGGUGCUGUCUUCACUUGUGGCUUAAGGUUUCGCAGACAUGCUGUGUUCAGAGUGUAGCCUAAUGCUUUUAGCUGUUUGUCAUGAUUCAAAAGCGAUCAUUGAACUCUAAGCUGGGUCUGUACACGUGAAGGUUAUACUUCUUUUUGAUGUUUGGGUGAUGGAUCUGAUUUUAUGACUGCCAAUCAGUUUUGAUAUUGGUUCAAGUAGGAUCUUCAAGUCAUAGCUCCUUGACAGGCACUACACUUGGGAAUUAAUUAGAAGAAGCUUGCCCAAUGGAAAUGCAUCCCGAGAAUGGCAUUAGAGGGUACUACGUUGCUCAUCCUGAGUCCUGGUUGAGUCUCAUCACUUUGGAGAUAACAAGAAUGCACGUCAGACCAAUCUCAAGAUGUUCAAUGUUAACCAAAGCCACGGAGACACAACCUUGUACCCCAUAUCAGUGGUGAAGCAAGGAAUUUUACUAAUGGUGUUCAAGAUGUUCAAGAUUUAAUAUAUGUACAAAUUAUAAGGGUGUUCAACUGACCAUCAUUCACCGGCUGUAGCUCUGCUUCUUGUCUCAUAAGAUGCUGCUCUGUCAUCUCCGGAUUUGCCAUAAACAACUACCAUAGCUCCUUGGUAUUGCUAUUUGAGAGCAUUCCGUUAAUACUCCUUGUUGAAAGCAGGAAACAAGAACAUAGAUCUAAGGUCAUUGUUUAUCAUCUGCCUCUGUCCUCUGCCUGUGCUGAAAGAUUCUGCAGUUUCUGUCCUGCCAAAUGUAGUACACAACUGCUGCCAAUAUCAUCCUGUACAUUGCUGAAUUAAUAUGCCUGCCUUUACAAUUAGUAACAGCCCAGUUGAGCUCAUCAUGCAAUGCCAAGGUGCAUUACUGGUAGGUUAUUAAACAUUUCUUUGAAAUGUUCUGUCAACGCCACAGGAAGGAAAAGAGAAUUAAACAGGCCAUCUGGAUGUCCAAGUUACUGCCUAAUGCUAUGACAACAAAAGUAAAAAGUGAUUACAGAAGAAUGGAUAUUCGAGUAACAAAAUUGUCUUCGCCACUCCAGAUAUACAACUCUUCAUACUGGGACAGUAUCCAAGCCCGCCCGUGUGGCGUAAAUAUGCUCCAGUAUUCCACCAUUCCUCCUAUAAAACACAGCCUGAGAAGAGCCUCCAUCAAAGAAUGACUUCAUCGCCUCAACAGCUUCUUCUACCUGUGGCUGGUGCUUAGGUCGACCACAUCGUUUUACAUCUUUACUUAACAAAAGCUUCAAAGCUUUUUCCAGGGUAAUGUUUUUGGGAUUUAAGUUCUGUGACCAAAAUCAGUACAGGCAACUUCUCAUGGAAAAAAGAAAGAAACAGUAAAUUAUACCGUUAACCUACUUCAAAGUCAUUCAAGUAGUCAUUGAUCUUGUUGCAAUUUGUACAGAUUUUAUUACUCCCAAAAGAAAAGUGACACUUUAUGAAACGUGUUGUAUGAUAAUUAGCAAUAACUAACAGGUGAAACAACAUACUGACCAGCACUGAUAUUCAUUGAUAUGGAGUUAGCAGUUGUAGAAAUAUUUGUAAUCACUAGAGUAGUCUUAAGGCUGAUAUACAGGAAUACCAAGAAGAUUAA
Molecule: non-coding RNA, 1929 nt
Organism: Nicotiana tabacum (common tobacco)
Lineage: Eukaryota; Viridiplantae; Streptophyta; Magnoliopsida; Solanales; Solanaceae
Source: RefSeq, a predicted model, not a curated record